Molecule: unclassified non-coding RNA, 278 nt
Filed under: Hevea brasiliensis (rubber tree)
Lineage: Eukaryota; Viridiplantae; Streptophyta; Magnoliopsida; Malpighiales; Euphorbiaceae
Source: RNAcentral
UAUUAUUUGAGAAAGAAAAAGAAGAAGAGAAAAAUAGUUAGUAAGAAAGUAAGAGUAGAUAUAUAGUUGAAGAAAUUAAAAUCAUGGGGUGUUUUCCUUGUUCUGGAGAUGGAGAUACAUCAGUGAAGAAACCAGAGAAAAAAAUAUUUCAAACUAUUAGUAAUCAUAAAUACAAAAGGGUUGAACAGCCACAGCCUAAACAAGUUACGCCGGUGGCUAGUCAAUUUAAAGUUGUGAAGAAUGAAGACGCUAAAGUUGCAAACCGAUCUAUGUCUAAG